RNAcentral lists this ribosomal RNA (348 nucleotides) under uncultured Holophagae bacterium. Its description in RNAcentral is "bacterial SSU rRNA". It matches the Rfam family "Bacterial small subunit ribosomal RNA", at positions 1036 to 1378 of the family's 1533-position model. Lineage: Bacteria; Pseudomonadati; Acidobacteriota; Holophagae. The record is from RNAcentral.
AGGUGCUGCAUGGCUGUCGUCAGCUCGUGCCGUGAGGUGUUCGGUUAAGUCCGGUAACGAGCGCAACCCCUGCCCUUAGUUACCAGCGGGUAAUGCCGGGAACUCCUAAGGGGACUGCCUUGGUUAACGAGGAGGAAGGUGGGGACGACGUCAAGUCAUCACGGCCUUUAUGUCCAGGGCCACACACGUGCUACAAUGGCCGGCACAAAGGGUUGCCAACCCGCGAGGGGGAGCCAAUCCCAAAAGCCGGUCUAAGUUCAGAUUGUAGGCUGCAACUCGCCUACAUGAAGCCGGAGUUGCUAGUAACCGCGCGUCAGCAUUAGUGCGGUGAAUACGUUCCCGGGGAUU